UACAGAGGGGGUAAGCGUUGUUCGGAAUUACUGGGCGUAAAGGGCGCGUAGGCGGCCUGUUAAGUCGAACGUGAAAUCCCCGGGCUCAACCCGGGAACUGCGUCCGAUACUGGCAGGCUUGAAUCCGGGAGAGGGAUGCGGAAUUCCAGGUGUAGCGGUGAAAUGCGUAGAUAUCUGGAGGAACACCGGUGGCGAAGGCGGCAUCCUGGACCGGUAUUGACGCUGAGGCGCGAAAGCCAGGGGAGCAAACGGG
This 253-nucleotide ribosomal RNA is filed under the name uncultured bacterium. RNAcentral's name for it is "partial 16S ribosomal RNA". It matches the Rfam family "Bacterial small subunit ribosomal RNA", at positions 524 to 776 of the family's 1533-position model. The record is from RNAcentral.